Molecule: small RNA, 228 nt
Filed under: Arabidopsis thaliana (thale cress)
Lineage: Eukaryota; Viridiplantae; Streptophyta; Magnoliopsida; Brassicales; Brassicaceae
Description: ATSL153770
Source: RNAcentral
AAUUAUUUCUAGUUGGUGAUGAACUAAAAUAUCUUAUUUAGAAUCUUAUUGACUACAAGAAUUAAGUGGGUAAUUGGUUGGAAUGUAACUGUAGAAUUUUAGUUGUAGAGAUUUUGUUGUAUCUGUGUUGGCUACAGCUGUAACUCUUAUUGUUGUAAAAUUAUUGCUGUAAGUUUUUGACUUUAAAUAAUUAUAAAAAAUGAAUUAGUAAAUAUAAUAGUCGUAAAA